This 760-nucleotide ribosomal RNA is filed under the name Pseudoxanthomonas mexicana. RNAcentral describes it as "bacterial SSU rRNA". It matches the Rfam family "Bacterial small subunit ribosomal RNA", at positions 28 to 776 of the family's 1533-position model. Lineage: Bacteria; Pseudomonadati; Pseudomonadota; Gammaproteobacteria; Lysobacterales; Lysobacteraceae. The record is from RNAcentral.
AGUGAACGCUGGCGGUAGGCCUAACACAUGCAAGUCGAACGGCAGCACAGGAGAGCUUGCUCUCUGGGUGGCGAGUGGCGGACGGGUGAGGAAUACAUCGGAAUCUACCUUUUCGUGGGGGAUAACGUAGGGAAACUUACGCUAAUACCGCAUACGACCUACGGGUGAAAGUGGGGGACCGCAAGGCCUCACGCGAUUAGAUGAGCCGAUGUCCGAUUAGCUAGUUGGCGGGGUAAUGGCCCACCAAGGCGACGAUCGGUAGCUGGUCUGAGAGGAUGAUCAGCCACACUGGAACUGAGACACGGUCCAGACUCCUACGGGAGGCAGCAGUGGGGAAUAUUGGACAAUGGGCGCAAGCCUGAUCCAGCCAUACCGCGUGGGUGAAGAAGGCCUUCGGGUUGUAAAGCCCUUUUGUUGGGAAAGAAAUCCUAUCGGUUAAUAACCGGUGGGGAUGACGGUACCCAAAGAAUAAGCACCGGCUAACUUCGUGCCAGCAGCCGCGGUAAUACGAAGGGUGCAAGCGUUACUCGGAAUUACUGGGCGUAAAGCGUGCGUAGGUGGUGGUUUAAGUCUGCUGUGAAAGCCCUGGGCUCAACCUGGGAAUUGCAGUGGAUACUGGAUUACUAGAGUGUGGUAGAGGGAUGCGGAAUUUCUGGUGUAGCAGUGAAAUGCGUAGAGAUCAGAAGGAACAUCCGUGGCGAAAGCGGCAUCCUGGGCCAACACUGACACUGAGGCACGAAAGCGUGGGGGAGCAAACAGG